GGUCUGCUGAAGUGUCCAGCAAUAGGACGAAACGGCCGUCCAGUGU
This 46-nucleotide non-coding RNA is filed under the name Schistosoma margrebowiei. Lineage: Eukaryota; Metazoa; Platyhelminthes; Trematoda; Strigeidida; Schistosomatidae. The record is from RNAcentral.